This 611-nucleotide ribosomal RNA is filed under the name uncultured bacterium. RNAcentral's name for it is "bacterial SSU rRNA". It matches the Rfam family "Bacterial small subunit ribosomal RNA", at positions 338 to 948 of the family's 1533-position model. The record is from RNAcentral.
CCUACGGGAGGCAGCAGUAGGGAAUAUUGGACAAUGGGCGCAAGCCUGAUCCAGCCAUCCCGCGUGAAGGAUUAAGGCCCUCUGGGUUGUAAACUUCUUUUCUCUGGGAAUAAAAACCGGUAUUCAUACUGGCUUGAAGGUACCAGAGGAAUAAGCACCGGCUAACUCCGUGCCAGCAGCCGCGGUAAUACGGAGGGUGCAAGCGUUAUCCGGAUUCACUGGGUUUAAAGGGUGCGUAGGUGGCUUUGUAAGUCAGUGGUGAAAUGCCGCAGCUCAACUGCGGAACUGCCAUUGAUACUGCUUAGCUUGAAUCACGUCGAGGUGGAUGGAAUAAUACAUGUAGCGGUGAAAUGCUUAGAUAUGUAUUAGAACACCGAUUGCGAAGGCAGUUCACUAGGCGUGUAUUGACACUGAGGCACGAAAGCGUGGGGGAUCAAACAGGAUUAGAUACCCUGGUAGUCCACGCCCUAAACCGAUGUAAACUCGACAUUAGCGAUAUACUGUUAGUGUCCAAGCGAAAGCGUUAAGUUUACCACCUGGAAGUACGACCGCAAGGUUGAAACUCAAAGGAAUUGACGGCUGAGAGAGCGAGACGACGACGAGGGAGGAGG